AUUGAACGCUGGCGGCAGGCCUAACACAUGCAAGUCGAGCGGAUGACGGGAGCUUGCUCCUUGAUUCAGCGGCGGACGGGUAAGUAAUGCCUAGGAAUCUGCCUGGUAGUGGGGGACAACGUUUCGAAAGGAACGCUAAUACCGCAUACGUCCUACGGGAGAAAGCAGGGGACCUUCGGGCCUUGCGCUAUCAGAUGAGCCUAGGUCGGAUUAGCUAGUUGGUGGGGUAAUGGCUCACCAAGGCGACGAUCCGUAACUGGUCUGAGAGGAUGAUCAGGCACACUUGAACUGAGACAUGGUCCAGACUCCUACGGGAGGCAGCAGUGGGGAAUAUUGGACAAUGGGCGAAAGCCUGAUCCAGCCAUGCCGCGUGUGUGAAGAAGGUCUUCGGAUUGUAAAGCACUUUAAGUUGGGAGGAAGGGCAGCAAGCUAAUACCUUGCUGUUUUGACGUUACCGACAGAAUAAGCACCGGCUAACUCUGUGCCAGCCGCCGCCGUAA
RNAcentral lists this ribosomal RNA (500 nucleotides) under uncultured bacterium. Its description in RNAcentral is "partial 16S ribosomal RNA". It matches the Rfam family "Bacterial small subunit ribosomal RNA", at positions 30 to 523 of the family's 1533-position model. The record is from RNAcentral.